GAGGUGGCACAGGUUUUUUACCGUUUCCCCUGUCCUGGAGCGGCCAAAGGAGAACGGUGUCAGGCCGCUCACAUCCU
RNAcentral lists this non-coding RNA (77 nucleotides) under unclassified sequences. Its description in RNAcentral is "CyVA-1 RNA". It matches the Rfam family "CyVA-1 RNA". Rfam says of the family: Cyanobacteria, Acidobacteria (1 example), Verrucomicrobia (1 example). Big IGRs The record is from Rfam by way of RNAcentral.